GGGAGCGGGCAGACCUCGGGCACCCAAACCCCGUUUCCCAGCAGGCAGAAAAGUUUGCCCCCACCCCAAAACAAACGAAAAAAAAGCAGAAUUCCCGUGUCUAAGCCGCCGCUUCAGACUUCUUCGGCAGAAAAGCAAAUAAACGAAGGAGCAGCGCGGCAGCCGAGGGGCCGGCGGGUGCUCGGGCUACUGACUGUGGCAUCGGCCUGACAGGUUAAAGCAGCAGCCGAUCCGUUUAAAAGGAAGACGCAUCACGGGAAGGAACGGCCCAGCUGCGUCCGCGCCGCAUCAAGGGUUCAUCCGUCACUCCCAGGCAGGUGCGCUAGAACCAGCUUUUACCUCAAAGAUUAACGUCUCAAGUCGUGGUUCUAGCAAAAUCUCAAUUAACAACAGAAUCGGAAACUUAGUUUAUACCCAGCUGCGGAGAGUUCUUGGCGACUUUUCUAGCAAAAGGUCAGGUGUUGGGCACGAUGUGAAAUACUGUCGACCUUGGUCUUGCUCAAGAGCAGACAUGACAUCAAAGACUUGUGAGCACCACUGGAUGCUGGAUAAAACACAGAAAUUGAUAUAGGGUCAUGAGACAGAUUUGUUUUGCCUGAGAGCGCUUCACGCUUUCCUAACGGCUUCUCUUAUGAUUAACUCAACAUUUAUAAACAACGAGAGUUGUAAGAUGGAAUACAAGGCGUUUAACUUGAAACAUUGUCUCAAACAGAAAGGAGAAGUUAAAGCAUUGAUGCGAAAUUCAUCAGUCUUUCUAAUGUCUGGCGGUGCUAGGAAACCGCAAACAAGGCAGCCUUUGCUUUAAACAGCCUGUGCAGUUUUAUUUAAUGUAAAUAAAUAAAUUCGUGUUUGACAGAAA
Apus apus (common swift) is the source of this 859-nucleotide long non-coding RNA. RefSeq lists it as uncharacterized. NCBI's taxonomy places the organism in Eukaryota, Metazoa, Chordata, Aves, Apodiformes, Apodidae. The record is from RefSeq and is a predicted model, not a curated record. The transcript has 2 exons.